This 386-nucleotide long non-coding RNA is filed under the name Zonotrichia albicollis (white-throated sparrow). RNAcentral describes it as "lncRNA (ENSZALG00000004557.1)". The record is from RNAcentral. Lineage: Eukaryota; Metazoa; Chordata; Aves; Passeriformes; Passerellidae.
CAGUAUGUGAGAAGCCAAGAGUUGGAUCCCUUCAUAACUCAAAGAGCAGGUCAGUGCUGCCCACGGAGGAGCUGCCAUGCUUGGCUGCAGCAGAAGGGAAGGAAUGGAUGGAAACAAUCCCACAUUUCAUCAGGAGAGCUGCCAAAAUGAGCUGACACAAGUACAGCACUGUCUUCUCCCUACAUAUGUCGUGGGUCAUGAGGCAUAGCAGCAUUUGAGCUUCAGAAUGGUGCUUGAAGAGCAUGCUUCACAGGGACAUGAGCAUAAGUAAAGGAGACAGACAUGUUACAGUGAAGAUUUUCAAGGGACUACAAAAGAAGAAUGGGUGGCUUGAUAUGCACAUCUUGAUCAUUCAGGAGCUGGACUCGUAUGACCAUCUAGACUGA